GAUGAACGCUGGCGGCGUGCCUAAUACAUGCAAGUCGAGCGAACAGACGAGGAGCUUGCUCCUCUGACGUUAGCGGCGGACGGGUGAGUAACACGUGGAUAACCUCCCUAUAAGACUGGGAUAACUUCGGGAAACCGGAGCUAAUACCGGAUAAUAUAUUGAACCGCAUGGUUCAAUAGUGAAAGACGGUUUUGCUGUCACUUAUAGAUGGAUCCGCGCCGCAUUAGCUAGUUGGUAAGGUAACGGCUUAUCAAGGCAACGAUGCGUAGCCGACCUGAGAGGCUGAUCGGCCACACUAGAACUGAGACACGGUCCAUGCUCCUACGGGAGGCAGCAGUAGGGAAUCUGCCGCAAUGGGCGAAAGCCUGACGGAGCGACGCCGCGUGAGUGAUGAAGGUCUUCGGAUCGUAAAACUCUGUUAUUAGGGAAGAACAAAUGUGUAAGUAACUAUGCACGUCUUGACGGUACCUAAUCAGAAAGCCACGGCUAACUACGUG
RNAcentral lists this ribosomal RNA (497 nucleotides) under uncultured bacterium. RNAcentral describes it as "partial 16S ribosomal RNA". It matches the Rfam family "Bacterial small subunit ribosomal RNA", at positions 28 to 507 of the family's 1533-position model. The record is from RNAcentral.